UAAUAGAGUACUCUAAUAUCUAAUACUCUAAUAUCUAUGGCUAUAUGGCGCUACCUAGCAACUAAACUCAGUAGUCAGUAAACUGACCUACAAAAUUAAUGUCCUCCUCCAGAACAAAAGGCAAAGAAGAGAGUUUGAGAUCAAAGAAGCCACUGGAUGGGAGACGAGAGCAGAAGAAGAAAGGAAUGGACGAUACCAGCUUAAACAAGAAGGGAUCACUACUACUAGUAGUCUAGUACUACUCAGUCAAAAUCAUCCAAACCCUCCCAACCUCUCAACCCACUAGUAUCAAAACCAAUUCAACCUCAGAGACACUCUACUACAGAAACCAGGCCCUCUCCUAAACAGCAGCACAGAUCCCCCACUACUAAACUAAAAGCAGAUACCAAACCUCAUUCACCAGUAGCUAGUAGUCUUGUCUUAUUCUUCAAAGGAUCAUAAGUACUCACCUAAAUCUACAUUCUACAUUAUAGAUCUACAUUCCCCCAAAUUGCCCAGUUCCUGUUCUUCCAAAAACUCAAACUCUUAUUCUUCAGAGUCGAGUUACUAAAGAGACUCAUAGACGAGGGGCCACUGAUAGACGAAAAGGGAAAAGAGGAGUUCAGAGUACUUUGUGUUAAGUUUCAGUCUGAUUUACCGUCAGAAGAGUCCUUACAGUAUCGUCCAACUCAAGGAUGUGAUACCUCAAGUGGUGCUCUUGUUCCUACUAAAGACUAUCUUCAUUCAUUGGAGAAUAAUCUAUUAGGAUUGGUACACCAUCUACAAUAUAGGACUGCCAAUGAUACACAGAAAGAAGUAGAUACAAUGUCUCACUGGCUCCGUCACAUUGCAGAGGGAGAGCCUUGUGAUACUUACCUUAAACUAUCAUCAGGUGAUCUGGCUAGAACCUCUGAGAUGAUAGAGACACAGCGGAGUACCUUUGACAGGGAUGAUGCUCUCUGUGUCCAGAACCUUCAAUCUAUUGCUGACUACACAUGUAUAUUCACUCAGCAGUGGAUUUAUUGACAAGAGUAGAGGAAGCUGUUGAGAGGUUCUUGUAUUGGGUCAAAGAAGUAAUGAUAUAUGAAGCAGUUACUUCAAGUCCCAGUAGUCAUGAUGUCCCAGUCACUGGUGGAGUAGCAUAUGAAGUGUUUGAUGACAAUGGAGUGAGUAGUAUCAAUGGUAGCAGUACCAGAGGAGGAGGGAAUACUAGCAGCUGUCAAGAGAUGAGUCAACACCAGAUACUACUAAGGCUCAUGGUGGUAAUUGCUUGUCACCCUCAAGGAGGAACAUUGGUCUUGAUGAUUCUGUUAGUGAGAAGUGGGCUCAAGCUAGCAGCCACUGCUCAGAUGCCAAAGAAUAUCUUGAGAUGAUUUGUAGAGAUUUAUCCGAUGAACUGGCACAAUUUGAUCUAAGGAAGGAACAAAAAUUGAGACAAGUUUUCGUUGAUCUUGCUGCUGGACAAAUAGAGUAAAAUGAUAAAGUGAAUUUUUUAUAUUAAGAACUGUACGCGAUCCUCCAUAGUGAAUUUUCAUGUAAAUACAGUUUGUCUCUAUUUAGCACAACAACAACAACAGGAGGAGGAGGAGGAGGAGGAGGUGACAACAAGUGAAGAUUGUUCCUCCUUCAAGAAA
Molecule: RNA transcript, 1613 nt
Organism: Amphimedon queenslandica
Lineage: Eukaryota; Metazoa; Porifera; Demospongiae; Haplosclerida; Niphatidae
Exons: 6
Source: RefSeq, a predicted model, not a curated record